This 718-nucleotide long non-coding RNA is filed under the name Homo sapiens (human). Its description in RNAcentral is "HSALNT0407316". The record is from RNAcentral. Lineage: Eukaryota; Metazoa; Chordata; Mammalia; Primates; Hominidae.
CACGACCCGAGCAGUCACACAGGACCCUGUGAUCAGAAUGGCCUCACUUGGGUUUAAUACUCUGCUGUCUUCAUCUUAAAAUUCUUAAUAAUUUAAUGUUUGAGCCCGUGCUUUGUAAGUGAAGUCUGAUGGAACAACGGAGCAUGCGCGUGAGUAGAGGAGAUACAGACGAUACGUGUGUCUGAGUUUUUUGUGGCUCCAUUAGCAUAUGGUGUUGAUGAUGCCCCCUGAGCACAGAAUUCUGGUGAGCCCACAAUGCAUGGGAGUUCAGCGAGAUUCAAUGCCAGUACAAGUGGGCCUCUCAAGUUGUGAAGCCAGCUGUGACCAUGCCACUUCCCCCACUGAGGGAUGGAGUCUAUUCCUCUGCCUCUUGAAUCUAGUCUGGCCUAUGACUACUUUAACCAGUAGAAUUCCAUAGAAAAGGACUAUGUCAGUUGCACACUUCACCUUGAAGAGGACUGGAGGUUUUCACUUCCUGCCUCUUGGAGCCCUGAGCCAGCAUGAAUAAAGUCUAGGCUACUCUGCUGGAGAGAGGGACAUAAGGGUGUCAGACGUGUAAGGGAAGAAGCCACCUCACACACCUCAGCCCUAGCUGCCUUCUAACUGCAACCACCUGAGAGACCCCAGGCAAAAACCACCCAGCCAAGCUCUGUUGACCAACAGAAUCAUGAGAGAUAAUAAGAAAUAACAAUUAUGUAAUGCCACUAAGCUUCAAGAU